Nomascus leucogenys (northern white-cheeked gibbon) is the source of this 803-nucleotide RNA transcript. RefSeq lists it as uncharacterized. The record is from RefSeq and is a predicted model, not a curated record. The transcript has 2 exons. Lineage: Eukaryota; Metazoa; Chordata; Mammalia; Primates; Hylobatidae.
AUGCUCGGAGAGGGUCAACUGGACCUCCCGUCCGCUCUGCUCUUCGUGGAAUACAACCGUGGUGCCCAGCCCUUGGGAGCCUUGGAGCCAGCUGGCCUGCUGCUUUCCAGUCAACACGGAGUGCAGCACACACGGCCGCUCCAGUUCAUGGCCUCCCAGGGGUGCUGGGGAUGCAUCCAAAGUGGUUUGAGACAGAGUUGGAAACUCUCACCAACUGGCCUCUUCACCUUCCCCCUUAUCCCACUGCCACCAGCUGCCCUGUCUCACUGCAGAUUCAGGACCAGCUUGGGCUCCGUGCGUUCUGCCUUGCCAGCCAGCCGAGGAUGUAGUUGUUGCUGCCGUCAUCCCACCACCUCAGGGACCAGAGGGCUAGGUUGGCACUGCGGCCCUCACCAAGUCCUGGGCUCGGACCCAACUCCUGGACCUUUCUGGCCUGUAUCAGGCUGUGGCCACACGAGAGGACAGCGUGAGCUCAGGAGAGACUUAGUGACAAUGUACGCCUUUCCCUCAGAAUUCAAGGAAGAGACUGUUGCCUGCCUUCCUCCAUGUUAGCGUGGAACCUGUGUGUCCAUUCCCACCAUAUCCACCCUCGCUCCAUCUUUGAACUCAAACACAAGGAACUAACUGUACCCUGGUCCUCUCCCCAGUUCCUAAUUCACCCGAUCCCUCACCUUCCUCCACUCUAAGGGAUAUCAACACUGCCCAGCACAGGAGCCCUGAAUUUAUGUGGUUUUUAUAUAUUUUUUAAUAAGAUGCACUUUAUGUCAUUUUUUAAUAAAUCUGAAGAAUUAUUGUUUAAUCCU